Molecule: long non-coding RNA, 1296 nt
Filed under: Numida meleagris (helmeted guineafowl)
Lineage: Eukaryota; Metazoa; Chordata; Aves; Galliformes; Numididae
Description: lncRNA (ENSNMEG00000002664.1)
Source: RNAcentral
GUCAAUUGCUGGUCCACCAUCGACCCACUUGGCCACCAGGGUGCACUGCUGGCUUGUGGUCAACCACUGGUCAACUGUUGGUCAAUUGUUUGUCAACCGUUGGUCGAUUGUUAGUCAACCAUCAACCCUCUUGGCCACCAGGGUGCACUGCUGGCUCGUGGUCAACUAUUGAUCAACUGUUGGUCAACUGUUGGUCGACCAUUGGUCAGUUGUUGGUCAACCAUCUGCCCUCUUGGCCACCGAGGCACACUGCCGGCUCGUGGUCAACUGUUGGGUAAACCAUUGGCCACCGGGACCCCCAACUCCUUCUCCGCAGAGCUCCCUUCCCGCAGCUCAGCCCUGACCUACUCUGCUGCACUCAUAGGGUCGGGGCAGUGCCGUUGCUGGCUGCAGUGGGGCUUUAUUUUCAUCCCUUCGUGCCGCCCAACCCCGCAGCAGAGGGACUCACGGAGGAAGCGCGCGGGCUCCGGCCCUGAACGUGCGGCUGCCAUGAGGCAGCAGCGCCGAGCUCCCUCCUUACGUCCCACCCCAGGAAUGAGGUGACUCAAGGCCUCUCCUCUCCCCGCCAGAACCCGUAACCGUAUCUCCAUACCACCAUCGAGCCCGGGGCCACUCGAGGAGGUUCUGUUACAUAAAGGAGCGCCUUAUGCCAACAACGCAGAGCUAUAUCCUCGCUUUAAAAACCACCUUUUAAAUUCUCAGCUGCUUUAAGCAGCCCGGGACGAGGGCCCUGUUUUUAUUUUCUGUUUGGCCCUGGCAGCCGCCGGCCCCGGCUCUUGGCUCCCGGCCCAGAAUCUGCUUUCGUUUUGGAGCGCGGUUGGCUCUCGGCGUCCUUUUUUUUGGGUUUAAAAUAGCGGCUUUGCCUCACCGUGGGGCGGGAGGGGAAGGAAGCAAAUGCCUGUGUCUCCCUCUCUCCAAACUGAUGAGGUGAGAGCUCGGUCCCUCCGCUCGCGGCAGUGCCGGUGACGGAGAUGACAGAGUGGGAGCCGGGAGGGGACGACCGCAAGGCUGCGGCGUCGGGGAGCGGUGGCAAUGGGCCCUCCUGGCGCUGCUGUUGGUGCCGAGUCUGUGCCACGGGGUGCCAGAUUUUGAUCGCUGCCACCUGCAGCAGCCCCAGCUCUGCCCUGCAUCCAGCAGCCCCGCGCAGCUCGUUAACCCGUGCCAUUAACAGCUCCUCCGGUUCUGUUUGCAAUGAGCCGGGUCCCUGGGGGUGGGGGUCAGUGGGAGAGCAGCCCCGGCAGCCCCCGGCUCGGCGCACGGCCAGCGGCUCACAGCGCUGUGGGGCUCCGCGCUGCU